AUAUAUAUAUAUUAAAAGUCUUAAAUUGAAUUCCCUUAAACAUGCUGAUAUCCUGAUAACAUACUUGCUAAUUCUCCUGUCUAACCAGAUGGUCAGUUCUGUUGCAGACCGAUUUUCCCCAGUGCGCUCCCUGGGCCGCUCCACAUGUGCCAGAUGUGAGUCGUCUUUGUGCUCGGAGUCAACCCCAGAACAUCUACUCCAUCCUGAAGACAUCUUGCAAGCAACUGCAAUUCAUAUCCAGAGAAGAAACUUGGCAGAGCUUCAGACAAAUAUAAGUGUCCGCUCUUGAUUAGAGCAAGGCUGGUGAGAGGAUCAACUCCUGACAGGACGUUUGUUUGAUAAAUUUACACAGCAAAAAAAUACGAUGCAUGAGAUUUUGAGACAUUUCAAAAAACUUGGCAUGUUCUGUUAAUUAUUGUUAAUACAUUUCCUUUUCUAAUCAUUUUGUUUACAAGGACGUGACAUGUCAAGGGGCUUGUAAGUAUUUUCAACUCCAGACAGAUGUUUCUUUUAGUCAUUAUUAGAUAAACAAAGACUUCCAGCCAAGGAAAUCACUACAGUUUGAAAUGACAUAUAUCUCCAUAACCGUAUCUGUAACGUCUAACUCAUGAGUUGCGCUGUAUUUCUUUGUCUCAGCACCCCAUUUAGAACAAGCUAGACCGGCUGCAGUAUAUUUCACGGAUCUUAAACGAAUCUCGUGUUUCAUAAAUCAAAUUAUUUCAAGUUAUUCUUCAUUUCUGCCUAUUUCAUUAUGUCACGAUGAAGAACUGUGUCCGGUCUUCGCUGUUUAGAGCUUUAGCGGGAGAAAGGGGGGGGGAGGGGAAGAGUAUGAGUUUGUGUGUGUUCUGUCUUUUUCUUUUGCUGCAGACAGACUGGGGAUGUCAGGUGCAUGAUGGGAAGUGGGUUCGCAGGGGACAGCAGUGUGGCGUAAGGCCAGAAUCAAUUGGCGGUGUAAUGAGAUGGCUUGGUGCCAGGUUUCCAUGGAGCUCACUUUUCCUGUCCUUCACUGGAGGAUUUGUAAAUUAAAGGGAGAGAGAAAGCUUUGGAGGGAGGCAGGAGAGAAAGGGAGAGAGGCAAACAGAAAGAAAAGGAGGGAGUGGGUGGCAGAGGAGUAGCAAAAGGGCACAACCAAAGGAGGGGGCACGAAGCUAGACAGAGAAAGGUGCAGCGAUUUACAAAAAAGAAAGAGGGGAUGCAAGACAGAGGCUUGGAAUGCUGUAGCUCCAGAGAGCUCAGCACAGCGCAAUUCGCCGAAGAUGACGGGGCUUCGUAAUGCGCGCUGUCUUUCAGACAUUUUUUUUUUUGGUUAUUGAUGCCGAACUCAAGCUCAGGAUCUCAGAGAUAAGGUGCACUUGGCGAAGAGAUGAAAAGAAGGUCUUUCCUUUCUAUUUCUGUGUGCCACAAUGAUAGGUGCUUUUCAUUUCUGCCCCCUCGAGCCCAAAAUCUGUCUGAUAAAACUUACUGAAAUCAGUGCAGUGACAUCCCUUCAAUCCAGCAGCGAAAAGACUGUCGUGAUUGCGCAAAAAGUGGCUGAUUAGCAUUAUAAAACAUCAUUUAUUUUGAGAGUCAUUCACUUUGCGACUCUAUUACGGAUAACCUUGCGCAAGAAGUUCUUCUUCGCUUAUCAUUCUCGCAGCUACAUUUCAGAAUACAGCAUGCUUUAAAAUUGAAGGUUUUCUCACGCACAAAGGACUCUCGUCUUGUGCGGUUAAUGCCCUUCUUUUUCACAAAGGCCAACUUUUUUUCAUUUAGGAGCUUAAUUCUUCCACUCCAGGGGUAUUUCAUUCCCAAGAUCUCCGGUUUGUCCAUGUUGAAUUAACCACCAGCUUUCCCGCAGGCACCACAAUGUUUUAUGCAUACCGUUUAUUAAUUUACAUCACGAUUUGCCUGUUUAUCCAGACUCGGAUAAUCCUUUUCACUCUGAUCACAAAUUUACAGCAUUCCUAUUUUAUGGGCCUUGGCAUCUUUAAGCUGAUAAUUUAUUUUGAAUGAAACAAAUUUGUAGAAGCUGGAACUCUCCUUGUCUUGAUUCGGGCGGGAGGGUGUGGAUGUUGAUGGUGCCGGCUGGGCCCGUGUUGGAUUAGAAGCCUGAAGUAUAUUGACGGAGCAUUUGAGGUCAGCUGGGGACACACAAGACUAUAACCCGCUGAGAACCACAGAGGAACCGGCUGAGUCAUGGUCUCAAAUCAGUUUCAGCCAAUCCUGGAGGGUGGAUGCGAUGGUGGUGGAACAGAGUGGAUAGUGUUGCAGUGGUUCAUGGGUAGACGGGAACAAAGAGACUCUUCAUGUCCUCUGUGCCUCACAUGCAUCAUCUCGCAUAAAGCUCAUUCUGUCUGUAUUGGGAUACUAUCCUCUUAUUUCUCCGAUACAUUCUUAAGAUGUUGUGCAGGGAUAACAUAAAGAAAAGGAGAAGAUGCUUGAACCUUACCACAAAUCAAAGCUAAAUGACACUAAUUGGUCCACCGGCGCUGUUUUCUCUUGACUGCAGACCGCAUUGUAAUGAAAACAAAACACCACUUUGGAGCAUUUUCUUUCCCACGAGAUUAACCGUAAUUAACUAGUAUCACUGCUGGGCAGCAGGUGAUGUCUCAGCCACGGACAAAGGGCUGAUUGGUCAUGCUACAUUUUUGGAUGUAAUUGAGACACAGUUUACUUCAUAUUUAACCUUCAUCAACAGCACCAUUUUAUUGAUGUGCUAAUAUUGAUCAUUUAUUUAACAUGCUGAGACUUUCUCUAAUGUAGAGGCCUUGUGUUUAUAGUAGAAGGCAGAAAAAUAAGUUCAUGUUUUAGCUUCUGUUUUGCAUUUUUAAUUUAAUAAUAUUUUUUAAAUGUCAAUAAUAACAAUAAGAAGAAUUAAUCAAAUUUCAUCUGUAAUUUUUUUUAACUACAUUUGAACUCUUUUAAAACUAUUUUGAGAAUAUUUUUGUAUUUAAUUGUUUCAGUGAAAACCACACUUAAGCUAUUUUAACUGUGGAAAAACCUGAUGAUCGUGUUCUCCAGUAUGAUGCGAGUUGAUCCAAAAAGCUUCUAGUGCAUCAAUGGCAACAAGAACAUCUCGUGUCCGUUCAAAGACAGUCACAUGGUCAGUGUCACAUGUCAUUUAAUUUUAGAUAGUAACCAAGAAAUAAUGUAGAACCUGCAACGCAUGUAAAUAUAUAUAUCAGACAUCAGAACUUUUCUUUGUCACUUUCCAGUUUUAAAUGUGAUUCUAAAUCCUAGAUUUCAGAGUUUUGGUCCUUCAGAUCCCACUUGGUCACUUUCUGCUGCAAUUUCUAGCUCUGGCUUUAUAUCUGGCUGGUCAGGAGUGAGACAGAGAGACCGCUGGCCCGUUUUUUUAGAUUUUGGUUAAUGCAAUGGAUUGGUGGAGCAGUGCCGCAGCAGUGCGUGAGUAGAAUAUCAGAGAGAGGGAGAGGCAUUGAAUUUGGAGGGGUGAGACAUGGUGCCUUCUUAACGGAGUCUGAAGGCAUAUGUUUAUCACCGACACGCUGUACACUGUACACGACUCACCCUCCCUCCAACCACCACGCUGGGAGUCGAGUAGAGUAAGAGGGGCUGGAGGUAUUGCUUACAGUCAGCGCUCUGCGGGAAACACCACUGCGUGUUCACAUGGCUUCUCCCCGUCCCCUGGGAAACGGCACAUACCCGCCGGGCAUUCAAGUCUAUUGGGGUGUCAGCUUCAGUCUGCUGAGUACAGCCGGCAUCUUAAAGUGAGAACGCUGGAGAUGAUCGGGUUUUAAAGUGCUGUGUUUGGCCUAAUGCUGAGAUCAGCGCUCAAAAAACAUUUUCAACCUCUGCUGCUGGUGUUUCUUGUUGUUGUUGUUGUUUUUGGUAUAGUUAGGUUUGAUGCUCUGAUUUAUGAACGUCUACAUAGCAAAGCGCUAUAUUUGCAGACUGCUGAUCCUAAGAAGAUGUGCCACAAUAAGACCCUCUAUUCUUAGCCGGCACACACUGAUGCGCUUCGCUGUCAGCCCGGACCCACUAGUAUUUCAAUUAAAAAAAUCUUAUUUCACUAGAAAGAUAUAGGUUAAGACAAAAGAAAGGAAACACUGGUUUUCAGAAAGUGUCAGUGUUUGCCGAAAUGGCAAGUCCACCGCGAAGCAAUUUCGCCCCAGCAAACAAUGGCACGGGGCCAACGAGACUCUUUCAGAAGCUAGACUGAACUGCAGAUUAGUAUUUAUUUUUGGUGCAGAGAAGUCUUCCAAGAAGUAUGCGUGUGCAUGUGUGUGUGUUUUUGGGAGGUGUAUGUGUGUGAGGUUGGGGGGGUUUGGUCGGGCGGUCUGGGAGAGGGGAGCGUGAGGACUGCCGAGGAGUUGUUACCUGGGUUGCUCCUCUACAGCUGGGAGAGAGAGAGAGGCAAGAGGAGGAGACGAGGUUAAGGGGUGACGGGACUGGUGCACAAACUCCAUUUUCCUUUUUGCCGAAUUUCCACAGUCGCUUCUUUCUUUUCUGUUUCGCUUCAUUCAACAGAGUUGAGUGAAAGAGAGGGAGAGGGCUAUAGAGAGAGAGUGAAAGAGAAAAUCAAGCCAAUUUUUUUUUUAAGACUCGAUCUUGGCUUUCUUACAAACAGAUGUUGCCUGUCAUUUGGUCGUUAAGCAGGCACAUAGAUCGUACAAUACUGAGGUUUUACUGACUUGCUUUCUCUUAUUUAUGGUUUUAUUACAAGGAAAAUCGAUCUCUCAUAAACAUGGGAAUGAUUUUUUCCCAAUCCAUUUGUUUUUUUUUUUAUAAUGUAUUUUUCCCUCGCUGUAUCUCAUCCAUUUGCUCGUUUCUAUUUUUUUUUUUUUUUUUUUGCGCAUUUGUGUUUUGGGCUUUCGUGGGCCACAGUGGACGUUCUCCAUACCUUCUACCAGUACUGUAAGUACAGUGAGUGCAAUGAGACCUUUUGGAAACAGUAAACAGACAGUCGGUAAGCAUUUGAUUCUUUCUAUUCGGCAUAUUUGUUUACCACAUCGUUACGUUUUAUUUUCCUGUGCUUUAUAUUUGCCAUUUUUUAUCGUUGUUGUAGAAGUCAGUGUUGUUGGUGUGCAGGUUGCUGAGGCCUGGGCGUGUUAUUGAAGUUGAUCUGAUGUAAAAUCCUAUAUCCGUUCACUUUGGUUCAGAAAGACAGGGUCAGUCUCACUCCUGCUGACCCCUAUUCAGCUGAUUUUGAGGAGUCUUUCAACUUUUUGGCAUAGCCCCACUAACAUAGUUAAAGGAUCUUGGCACAUAGUUCAAAGUCAGUCUGUUCAUUUGUGUUCAAGUAGUGGGAAACGGGAAGGGAUCUGUCAGAAGCUCUUCACCGGAGGUGCAGUGCCAGUCCAAAUCGACCAUCACAUUAUUUCACACUGAGCCACGUGUUAUUAAUGGCACUGGGUUUGGCUUUGUGGGCCAGACUUACUUCACACAUCUUUAUUAUGCUUAGGAGGGGCCUGAAACAUUUGGAUGCAGAAAUCUUCUGGGUUUGAGAGAAAUGUUGUUUCUGUUUGGUGAGAGUAUACUAAAUUUAGACAACAUAGGUCAUUACUGUAAUGCAUAGGUGCUGCCCUGUGAAUGAUUCAGAAUUGAGGGCUUAAGCUUACCUUAGUUUUUGAAAUGUAGAAACAAGACUUUUAAAGUCAGCCAUUGCCAGUGCUUUAUUUUAAUGCUUGAUUUUCAUAACAAAAAAAACUAUAAAAGCCUGACUUUAAACACUUUUUAAAACACAUAUGUGUUAUAUGAUGCUGUGCUAUACAAGAAAAUUGUCAGUAAUCUGUAUAUACAGCGUUGUGUGGUCAGCUCAGGGGAAAUGCAGAUGUUUGGCUUAUAGAUGUACUGACAGGUCUUUGAGUUGACGCUGCUCAGCUGUUGUCCUCUGUGGAUUGGGCUCUGCAGGCCCAUGAAACCUAAGAAUGAUGGUCUGAUGGAAGGGGAAGAUGCCAAAGAGCUAGAAAAUAAAAGGUUAAUGCAUGUUUUAGGGGUGGCAUUCUUGGUAUUGAUUUUUCCUGAAUGAUUAGGAUAGCCAUGUGUUUCAACAGCUAGAAAGAUUGAUUUGCAAUACAGUAUUUUAUUGCUUUGUAUGUUCAUUUUUAUUUUCACCUUAUUAAAUACUUUGCCACUUGUUACAGGGGCAAUAGAAAAACAAUUGUUUUUAGUUAUUGUAUAACUUAGUCGUUUAAUUCAACCGAAUAUUGAAUCAUAAAAAAAGAAACAAUUUAAAAAUGUGAAAUAGUAGAUAUGAUGCCAAAUAAUUUUCAGAUUUUUAAAUAUGGCAAACAGUAACUUUCAUUUAUAUCAGUAAAAUAAUUAUGUUAUAAUAAUAAUAAUAUCUAUUAAUAAUAUGAAUAGAUAAGAAAAUUAAAUUCUUUCAUCUAUAAUAUAAUGAAAUAAUAUUUAUUUUAAUAUUAUGAAAUUCUUGAGAAUUUGUUUAUUUAUUUGACUGCUCUGCUGUUUUCCAAAUAAUUACCAUUAUUUGAAGAUAUUAAUUUAAGUUAAAAUAUAGAUUCCUAGUGCAGUAUCUGAGUGUUUUUGUGUCUUUAUUUCUUCUAGCAGGUGGUUUGUAGAGCAGACAAUAGUAAGAUUAUAUCCGUCUAACACCGAUUUUUCACUGUUCAUACUUCUUUUCUAUCUUUUUUUACCGUUCUUUCUUUCACAUGCCUUUAUUUUGUAGUUAUCAUGCACUUAAAAAGACGUUUGAUCAGAUCCUUCAGAGAAAGGUUGGCUAUUGGCCAGCUUGGACACACCUUUGGUUUCCUAUUGUUCCCAAAAUUCCUCUCUGAUUCCCCUUCUCUAUUUUCUUUCAGCUGGUACAGUUUACUCAGACUAUAAGGCAAUGAUUUAAUUGCUUUUCUGACUUGGAAAUGGACAAGCAGAUAGUAAUAAAACCUCUAUUUUCUAGAAGACUGACUUUAUCUAAACUGAUAUUUGGUCAACCUCUUAAUUUAGCCGUAUCUUCCAGUCACACAAUAUCAGAAUGAGUGGGUGUGAUGCUGCCAUCAACUCAUGAAAUCACUUUUUGACCAGCUUUUUUAAUUAACUUCGCUUGCAAUAUGUGUUACAGUUGGGGAUUGUUUUUUGACACCUCCUGACUGUUCUUUUCACCUAGCUUUACACCAUUUUUCUCAAUAUUUGACUUUGUUCUGUGUCUCCAGGCACUCUGCCUCCAUUUUGAGAGCCUUUUUGGAAACAGAGCUCUUUUAAAUGGUGAGGUUACAGCUCUUGUCUUUUAAAGUAUGUUCAGAAACUGCAUUGCAUGAUUAAAAAAAGAAAGAAAGAAAUGUGCCAAUGAUCUAUAGCUAAUGCAUAAUAAUUUGAAACAUUUGAAAUGUGUUCGAAGUAAAUCAGUGUUUUGAAUUUUAUAUAUUUAUAAUUUGUGAAAGUUAUCUCUCUCCUCCUCUCUUAAAUAGAUAAUAUAAUAAUACCAUUGCCAUCUUUAAAAGUAAUUGUUUGAAUGUGCAUUUGUGGUAGUGCUAUUCUAUUGUUGUCAUUUUCAUAUUUUCAUUAAACAAGGGGUUUUUCUACAUUGUUUGCUCGCUGUUCUUGCACUGUUGACUUGGCUUUUAGAUUCAUAGCCCACAGGAGAGCAGUGAAGUCAUUUACAAGAAUAUAGUACAAAUAUCUCAGUGUGUGUUUGAAUGUCUCAGAUGAUCUCGCCAAUGUGGGAACAUUUUCAAUUGUAUCCAAUCAAAAUAGAAAAUAAAGAAGCGCAGGCUUUUA
Long non-coding RNA from Carassius gibelio (silver crucian carp), 7671 nucleotides. RefSeq lists it as uncharacterized. The record is from RefSeq and is a predicted model, not a curated record. Lineage: Eukaryota; Metazoa; Chordata; Actinopteri; Cypriniformes; Cyprinidae. The transcript has 2 exons.